This 1104-nucleotide ribosomal RNA is filed under the name Triticum aestivum (bread wheat). RNAcentral describes it as "partial small subunit ribosomal RNA". The record is from RNAcentral. Lineage: Eukaryota; Viridiplantae; Streptophyta; Magnoliopsida; Poales; Poaceae.
AUGUGUGAGACGCCACAACCCCCAAAACCAGUUGAUGAGAUUGUUGAUUUGACAACACCUGAAGUUCAAAUGUCAACUGGGUGGAAUCACAUGCAAACUUGCUACUCACCAUGCAAAAAUAAUAACGAGUACACAUCCGAGACUCCCCCACUCAUAAUGAAGAAGGACUACUCCAUGGUUCCAAUAAUAGGAAAAAGGUUAUUUGCAGAGGAGGAAAGCUGUCAACAAGAAUCCAGUGGCAGCAAAAGGAAUCCAUCAGGACAACUCAAAAUUCAUGGAGAAAACAUGUUUAGGCAAGAGCGCAGCACAUUGGUCAACAUAACUGAUGAUUUUUACAACACAAAUCUCUCGUUAGGAAGGCCAAGCAGUUUCCGUGGAAAAGAAAAUGCACCACCAAAGAGGAUUGUCCAACCAAGCAGGUACCGUAGCUCACCGUACGACUGCAGCGAAAGGGGCCCAAUAAUGCCACACGAGAUAAAGAUGUAUGAGAACAUAACAUCCCUGGCCAAUGUUGAAGGAUCCAAACCUGCAGUUUUGAUUGACAAAACCAUUGCCACAUUUGGACAGUUGGGUAACUCGAUGAAAAUAGGUGGCCGGGUCCAGGCCUAUGUCAUAAAUGUGUACUGUAGGCACCUAUUUAAUGAAAAUCAUCCUAGGAACUCACUCAAGCACUAUUUCUUCCACACUGCAUCUGAAUAUUUCCUGGGCAAAUGGAAAAAUGAUGAGGCAAGAAUUUGGUGGAGGAAGAAACUGAUUACGAGUUUCAUUGGAGCUGGAAAAGCACAUAAUCUUUCGAUGUCAGACAAGUUGUACUUUCCAACACUACAAGAGGAACAUUACUUUCUGUUCGUCGUCGACAUCAAGGGUUGCACAUUUUAUUUUCUAGAUUAUUUCUAUGAUGAGAAGAGAUCAUAUCAUAUGAACAUAAAAAAGAAGAUUAUCUCAAGCUUUAUAUGCACUUGGUACGAAGCUCGGCUCCAGCCAAUGGAUUUCAAUGCAUUCCCUGUUGUUUACCCUAAAGUCCCUCAACAAGAUAACGAUAUUGAUUGUGGCAUUUUCACUAUGAAACUAAUGGAUGGUGCCCAAAGAAUCCAACCCCUAUAG